RNAcentral lists this ribosomal RNA (151 nucleotides) under uncultured bacterium. RNAcentral's name for it is "partial 16S ribosomal RNA". It matches the Rfam family "Bacterial small subunit ribosomal RNA", at positions 356 to 504 of the family's 1533-position model. The record is from RNAcentral.
GAGGAAUAUUGGUCAAUGGUCGGCAGACUGAACCAGCCAAGUCGCGUGAGGGAAGACGGCCCUACGGGUUGUAAACUUCUUUUGUCGGAGAGUAAAGUACGCUACGUGUAGUGUAUUGCAAGUAUCCGAAGAAAAAGCAUCGGCUAACUCC